RNAcentral lists this long non-coding RNA (665 nucleotides) under Marmota monax (woodchuck). Lineage: Eukaryota; Metazoa; Chordata; Mammalia; Rodentia; Sciuridae. The record is from RNAcentral.
UGUCAUUACAAUCCCCAGCUAAUACCUGAGGAAACUGAGACAGAGGGGAAGCAACUCAUCAAAAUUCACAGCUUAGUGAACGGAGGAGCUAAGGUUUGAGCUUAGACAGUUUGUCCACUCACAUCUACUCAUCCGUGCACCCACCAUCCACCUAUCCAUUCAUCCACCCACCAUCCAUCCACCAUCCACCCAUUCAUCCACAAUCCACCAUUCACCAUCCAUCCAUCCACACGUCCAUCCAUCUAGUUACCCACCUAAUCAUCCAUUCACUCACCCACGCAUCCAUCCACCAUCCACUCCUUCAUCCAGUCACCAUCCACCCAUCCAUCCAUCCAUCCAUCCACCAUCCACUCCUCCAUCCACCCACCAUCUGCCCAUCCAUCUAUCCACCCACCAUUCACCCAUCCAUCCAUCUACUUACCCACCCACUCAUUCAUCUGUUCAACCACCCACCCAUCCAUUCACCAUCAGCUCCAUGAGAGCAGGAAUCAUGAUAUUCUGCUUAUUGCUCAAACCCUAUUUGUUGAGGGCCGCAAUCAAGUCAAGAUGGCGCCUGGCAGUUUGCCAGGAGGAGUGGUUUGUGAGGCAGUGCCACAGAGCCAUUAAGAUGGUGGAGAUUCCUUAUUGGCUGAUUGCUGUAUCUGGAUGAUGCUAAUUGAGUCAAG